This 74-nucleotide transfer RNA is filed under the name Alosa alosa (allis shad). RNAcentral's name for it is "tRNA-OTHER". The record is from RNAcentral. Lineage: Eukaryota; Metazoa; Chordata; Actinopteri; Clupeiformes; Clupeidae.
GCAGCCGUGGCCUACUGGUUAGAGUGUUGGGCUUGUAACCGAAGGGUUGCCGGUUCGAUCCCCGACCAGUAGGA